RNAcentral lists this transfer RNA (81 nucleotides) under Caudoviricetes sp. Its description in RNAcentral is "tRNA-Leu". It matches the Rfam family "tRNA". Rfam says of the family: Transfer RNA (tRNA) molecules are approximately 80 nucleotides in length. Their secondary structure includes four short double-helical elements and three loops (D, anti-codon, and T loops). The record is from RNAcentral. Lineage: Duplodnaviria; Heunggongvirae; Uroviricota; Caudoviricetes.
GUGCUCGUGGCGCAAUGGCAGACGCGCUGGAUUUAGGAUCCAGUGUUGGAAAACAUGUGGGUUCAAAUCCCACCGAGCGCA